RNAcentral lists this ribosomal RNA (16 nucleotides) under Savalia savaglia. RNAcentral describes it as "partial 18S ribosomal RNA". Lineage: Eukaryota; Metazoa; Cnidaria; Anthozoa; Zoantharia; Parazoanthidae. The record is from RNAcentral.
AAGGAUCAUUAUCGUU